This is a long non-coding RNA of Apis mellifera (honey bee), 2403 nucleotides long. RefSeq lists it as uncharacterized. Lineage: Eukaryota; Metazoa; Arthropoda; Insecta; Hymenoptera; Apidae. The record is from RefSeq and is a predicted model, not a curated record. The transcript has 4 exons.
UAUAUAUAUUUUUUUUUAAAUAUAUACGUACUUACAUAUACAUAAGUAAAUAUUUGUACUGUAAAUAAUAAGCGAAAAGUAAAGUUGAAAAAAGCCAUUCCCUCGCAGAAGCAAGUUCGUACGUGCUGCGAAGCAAUUGUUUGGAAUUCGAUGUGGUCGACCUCGAGGAUUACUUACCUCGGAAUAUUGAGAAUGUACCGACGAUCGAUAUGAUGAUCGGUGGUUUCAAAUGUCCCGUCUCUGCUUUGCCCUUUGGCGCUUUGAAAUCUGACUGGGCAAGAUUACUGCUCCUGCAGAGAGCGCAACCAAAGGAUUCGAUUCUCUCGAAGAAACUAGGUCGUCUUUUCAGAAUCUUAGCUUAUUUCCAAAUAGAGCAACAUUACGAUAUUAUUCAAUCUGGAAUUUUCAGCAGCGUAACCGUUACGAAAAGGAAAGAAACGAAGGGAUUCAACAGCUCGGCAAUCGAUUUAGAAGGGAUAGAUAAAAAUUUUACUGCAAAUACUUUUUUCGACGAUAAAAAGUCCAUUGACACAAUUAAUACGGCAAUAAUUCUUGGACAACCGUCGAAUUUUUAUCGAUCGAUAAUCGGAUGACAUGAAACGAUACGAGAAAAAGAAGAUGGUAAAUAUUACCACCGGUUUUUCAGAUAUAAAUAAAAAAAUUACGCAGAAAACAAAUGAAAUCCGUCGCAAUCGAAAUCGCGAAUAAUUUUACGAAAAGUCAAGGUGGUGCAAAUAUUUGUAGAAAAAAGGAUCGAGUAAAAAUAAAGAUGACACCUUUACCGUUACCGACAUUUCGGAAAUAACGAUUUCUAAUUCAAGUCGAGAAUCAAUAGUGAAAAAUAUGAAGGGAGAGGGAACGACGAGAUCGAUUUUCACCAUUAAAAUUAACACGAUGAAAUCUGAUGAUGGUAUGGAAGAUUUUAAAAGAAUAAGCGAUUUUUCUACGUCGUACGAUUACUCCAUAAAGUUCAAUUUAGAAUUGGAAUUGAAAAUGUAAAUAGUCUGGAGAUUUUUGAUGUAAAAACUAGGCGUUCAUUCGGAUAAAAUCUCCGCUAACUCGAGCGAAAGUUUUAAUCAAAGUCCUUCGAAUCGUCAAACAAACGACGUGUUCCUUCGGAAAGAUUCCGUGGAAUUUCUCGAAUAAGAAACCUCCGACUUAUAAAAAACUUGGAAAGCCCUCGUUGGAUAACUUUUCGAAAUACAUUGUAAUUUCACGAAAUGUUAGUUUAACCACUUCUCCUUCUGUAGAAAAUUAAAGGAGAUUAAAAAUGCAGAUAAAUCUAAAGGAAGUUCGACGAAAUCCAAAAAGCUUGAACACGAAUAUCGAAAAGGAUCUUGGAUGGUUUUACAAUUUUGCCCACGAAGAUAACAAACAAUACAGUAAUAAUCCGGCUGAUCGUCGAGGUAUUCGUAUCAAAUGCAACGGGAAGAAACGCAGCGGUAGAAAAGAAGCUUUACUCUUCUGAUCUGCAAAAAUAUAAUAGGAUAAUUUUUUUUAUGAAAAAAUAGGAUAAGAAACGAAUCAAACAUUGCCUACCUAAAUAAAAUUGUUCGAAUCUCGCUUAAUUGGACUUUACACUUCUUGAUUUCCUUUAUCGUGUCACGUUUGCACGUUGGAGAAGCUGGUACGACGACUGGGACAUUUGCCGAUUCUUAUCAAUGGCCGUCCAGUCCAUAAAUUCACGAGCCGGUGACCAAUAUUUACGAGGUCCUCUUCAAGCGUUACAAGCUGUAAACGAGUCCUCUUAUUAAUCCUAUGCACAAGAUUUUUCGAAUCGUCGACCAGCGAGUAAGCAGUUGAAUCGUUUGCGAUGCAACGCGAUUAGGUGACAAUUCAUGCGAUAUGCGUUGAACGGGGCGUCGUGUUUCGUAUGCGAUUGCGAUUCGAGUUGAAAUUACACGCGAAGUAAUAGGGGAGGGGAAAAAGAUAGGGGAUCAGUUUUGCACUGUUUAAAAUGUUCUCGUUAUUCGUAAGGGAGGGAGGAGGGGAAGGGAACGAGAACGAUUGCGAUGAGUUCAUAAUUGGCUUUACGCAAACUAUCGUGACUCGAUGGUUUAAUAACGGUUUUUCGAGAUAGCAGAGCCGAUCGGUUUAAUUUGCAACGAUAGCAUAUCAGUGGGUUGCGGUUAAUAACCAGUCCAAGGUACGUGAACAAAUAGGUGUGUUCAAUCAGCAUCCCGCGUCGUUCCAAAUUACUCCGCAAUAUUUUUGUUAAAAUAUCCAUCCGCCGUCGGUUUCAUCCAUCGAUGUACAAUAUCGUAUAAAUGUAACGCGUACGACUGAUUAUUCAAAACGUACGGAGAAAGCACGGGGAAUUGAAUAAUUUUAUCGCUUUAUUUAUGCGAGAAAGUUUUGUAAAUACGUUUUGGAACCUUUAAUAAAGAAAAAGUGAAUGAAAAA